This 253-nucleotide ribosomal RNA is filed under the name uncultured bacterium. RNAcentral describes it as "partial 16S ribosomal RNA". It matches the Rfam family "Bacterial small subunit ribosomal RNA", at positions 524 to 776 of the family's 1533-position model. The record is from RNAcentral.
UACGUAGGUGACAAGCGUUGUCCGGAAUUACUGGGCGUAAAGAGCUCGUAGGUGGUUUGUCGCGUUGUCCGUGAAAACUCACAGCUCAACUGUGGGCGUGCGGGCGAUACGGGCAGACUGGAGUACUGCAGGGGAGACUGGAAUUCCUGGUGUAGCGGUGGAAUGCGCAGAUAUCAGGAGGAACACCGGUGGCGAAGGCGGGUCUCUGGGCAGUAACUGACGCUGAGGAGCGAAAGCGUGGGGAGCGUACAGG